This 494-nucleotide ribosomal RNA is filed under the name uncultured Ferruginibacter sp. RNAcentral describes it as "bacterial SSU rRNA". It matches the Rfam family "Bacterial small subunit ribosomal RNA", at positions 239 to 730 of the family's 1533-position model. The record is from RNAcentral. Lineage: Bacteria; Pseudomonadati; Bacteroidota; Chitinophagia; Chitinophagales; Chitinophagaceae.
GAUUAGGUAGUUGGGGGGGUAACGGCCCACCAAGCCUGCGAUCAGUAACUGGUGUGAGAGCACGACCAGUCACACGGGCACUGAGACACGGGCCCGACUCCUACGGGAGGCAGCAGUAACGAAUAUUGGUCAAUGGACGAAAGUCUGAACCAGCCAUGCCGCGUGAAGGAUGAAGGUCCUCUGGAUUGUAAACUUCUUUUAUCUGGGACGAAAAAAGGUUAUUCUUAACCACUUGACGGUACCAGAGGAAUAAGCACCGGCUAACUCCGUGCCAGCAGCCGCGGUAAUACGGAGGGUGCAAGCGUUAUCCGGAUUCACUGGGUUUAAAGGGUGCGUAGGUGGAUUAGUAAGUCUGUGGUGAAAUCUCCGAGCUUAACUCGGAAACUGCCAUGGAUACUAUUAGUCUUGAAUCUCCUGGAGGUAAGCGGAAUAUGUCAUGUAGCGGUGAAAUGCUUAGAUAUGACAUAGAACACCAAUUGCGAAGGCAGCUUACU